Molecule: long non-coding RNA, 442 nt
Organism: Magallana angulata
Lineage: Eukaryota; Metazoa; Mollusca; Bivalvia; Ostreida; Ostreidae
Exons: 2
Source: RefSeq, a predicted model, not a curated record
UGUCGGUACUAUGUAAUUCUAUUUUCUAACACAAGUUAAACAAAUGUGAUAUUUAUUUAUAGAUUUAACAGUCAUUUUAUUUAAGAAAUUAUCACGCUCAUUAGCAGGUUUGAAAGCUAAAAUCAAUUUCCUAUCCAACUGGCAUGCUGAAAAUAGGGAUUGGACACAAGAUCAAAAGUAAAUUUGAAAACAAGAAAAUCGCAAUAUUAAGGCCAUCCUUUAAAAAUGAAAUAAUAACUGCCCUUUUACAGGCACAAUUUAUAUAGGUUGGUCUAGUGUUAAUGAAUAAAUAACCACAUGAAAUAACAUGUAAUAAUAUUGCUACGAUAAUACUGUUUCUUUAUAUUUUAACACACUUAGGAGGAUUGUUCGGAAAUUAUUGAGACAACACGAAUUAAAUUUCCCUUUCUAAGUAAUGAAUUAGGAUGAAAACUAGCAUAAA